Molecule: long non-coding RNA, 874 nt
Filed under: Homo sapiens (human)
Lineage: Eukaryota; Metazoa; Chordata; Mammalia; Primates; Hominidae
Description: HSALNT0268038
Source: RNAcentral
GCAGCGGCUGCGGCUUAGUCGGUGGCGGCCGGCGGCGGCUGCGGGCUGAGCGGCGAGUUUCCGAUUUAAAGCUGAGCUGCGAGGAAAAUGGCGGCGGGAGGAUCAAAAUACUUGCUGGAUGGUGGACUCAGAGACCAAUAAAAAUAAACUGCUUGAACAUCCUUUGACUGGUUAGCCAGGUAAUUCAGCUUUAGUUUGAUUUGAUCCUUUGUAAUUUUUUGUCUUCAACCUUCUGAAGAUAUUACCCUCCUCUUUAAUUUAUGAUUUAAUUAAAACUAUUUAUGCUUCAUGUUUUUCUCUUUAAUGAUUAUUAAAUGAAUGUGCUUAGAGUACUUGAGUGAAUACGUAUGUGUAUGUACAGUUGGCCCUUGAACAACUGAGGACUGGGGACACUGACCCCUUGUUCAGUAAAAAAUGUGCAGAACUUUCGACUCCCCCCAAACUUAACUACUAAUAACCUCCUCUUGCCUAGAAGCCUCACUGUUAAUAUAAACAGCUGAUUAACACAUAUUUUGUAUGUUACAUAUAUUAUAUCCUGUAUUCUUACAAUAAAGUAAGCUAGAGAAAAUAAAAUGUUAUUAAGAAAAUUAUGGCCAAGUGCAGUGACUCAUGUUUAUAAUCCUAGCACUUUGAGAGGCUGAGGUGGUUAGAUCACCUGAGUCCAGGAGUUUGAGAACAGUCUGGGCAACAGAGCGAAACCCCAUCUCUACAGAGAAUGCAAAAACUAGCCAGACAUAGUGGCCUGUGCCUUAGUCCCUAGCACUAGAGACACUGAGGUGGGAGGAUUGCCUGUGCCCAUGAGGUUGAGGCUGCGCCUCAGCUGUGAUUGUGCCACUGCACUCUAGCCUGGGCAACAGAAUGAAACCCUGUCUCC